Molecule: unclassified non-coding RNA, 426 nt
Filed under: Hevea brasiliensis (rubber tree)
Lineage: Eukaryota; Viridiplantae; Streptophyta; Magnoliopsida; Malpighiales; Euphorbiaceae
Source: RNAcentral
UCAAUGAUGCAGUUAAAAAAUGAGGUGUGUUAUCAUUUACAAAAUUAUUUUCGUCUCUUGUAUUUUCAUUAUUUUGGUGGUGAUGGUAUCAAAGCUGGGUGGCUUAUUUAGUUACUUGGUGAUGGUAUCGAUGAUAGAGGUGAGUAAAUUGUUAUCCUUCUACUUUGUUACUCAAUUCUGAGCGCAAAUUUUUGAAGGCAGAUGCUUUAAAAUUUAUCCUGUGGGUGCUCCUGGAAUUUUGUUAUCGAACAGUAGUCCCACUGAAGAAAAUCAGCUCUUAAUUAUUUGAUUUUGUUUCUUGCAUAUGAGUGUGAAUGUAUGCUCGUGUGCUCUGUCUUACAUUCUUUUCUUUUUUACUGGGUUUUUGUUGCUCAAGCAGAUACAUACAGUUGCCGUUGGAGCUGCUAUUGGCUAGGCUUGUCUAUU